This 1058-nucleotide ribosomal RNA is filed under the name Klebsiella pneumoniae. RNAcentral's name for it is "bacterial SSU rRNA". It matches the Rfam family "Bacterial small subunit ribosomal RNA", at positions 384 to 1456 of the family's 1533-position model. Lineage: Bacteria; Pseudomonadati; Pseudomonadota; Gammaproteobacteria; Enterobacterales; Enterobacteriaceae. The record is from RNAcentral.
GGACUUUGCCAUUGGGCAUGGUAGUGCACAUCCGGUUGUAGAGGCUCGGUUAGCCCUCAGCGGAGGAGCCGUAAGGUAUUACCUGUCGAUUGACGUAUCUGCAGAAGAGCACGCUACUCGUGCCAGCAGCGCGUAUACGAGGGUGCAGCGUAAUCGAUUACUGGGCGUAAAGCGCACGCAGGCGUCUGUCAAGUCGGAUGUGAAAUCCCCGGCUCACCUUGGGAACUGCAUUCGAACUGGCAGGCUAGAGUCCUGUAGAGGGGGGUAGAAUUCCAGGUGUAGCGGUGAAAUGCGUAGAGAUCUGGAGGAAUACCGGUGGCGAAGGCGGCCCCCUGGACAAAGACUGACGCUCAGGUGCGAAAGCGUGGGGAGCAAACAGGAUUAGAUACCCCUGGUAGUCCACGCCGUAAACGAUGUCGAUUUGGAGGUUGUGCCCUUGAGGCGUGGCUUCCGGAGCUAACGCGUUAAAUCGACCGCCUGGGGAGUACGGCCGCAAGGUUAAAACUCAAAUGAAUUGACGGGGGCCCGCACAAGCGGUGGAGCAUGUGGUUUAAUUCGAUGCAACGCGAAGAACCUUACCUGGUCUUGACAUCCACAGAACUUAGCAGAGAUGGUUUGGUGCCUUCGGGAACUGUGAGACAGGUGCUGCAUGGCUGUCGUCAGCUCGUGUUGUGAAAUGUUGGGUUAAGUCCCGCAACGAGCGCAACCCUUAUCCUUUGUUGCCAGCGGUUAGGCCGGGAACUCAAAGGAGACUGCCAGUGAUAAACUGGAGGAAGGUGGGGAUGACGUCAAGUCAUCAUGGCCCUUACGACCAGGGCUACACACGUGCUACAAUGGCAUAUACAAAGAGAAGCGACCUCGCGAGAGCAAGCGGACCUCAUAAAGUAUGUCGUAGUCCGGAUUGGAGUCUGCAACUCGACUCCAUGAAGUCGGAAUCGCUAGUAAUCGUAGAUCAGAAUGCUACGGUGAAUACGUUCCCGGGCCUUGUACACACCGCCCGUCACACCAUGGGAGUGGGUUGCAAAAGAAGUAGGUAGCUUAACUUCGGAGGGCGCUAC